This is a long non-coding RNA of Saccostrea cuccullata (small rock oyster), 240 nucleotides long. RefSeq lists it as uncharacterized. NCBI's taxonomy places the organism in Eukaryota, Metazoa, Mollusca, Bivalvia, Ostreida, Ostreidae. The record is from RefSeq and is a predicted model, not a curated record. The transcript has 3 exons.
AGACAAACACAUGGAGAAUCACACUGGUAAAUAUAGUCACUAGACAAACACAUGGAGAAUCACACCGAUAAGUACCCAUGUAAACAUUGUGGUAGAGAAUUCUCCAGCCAGGCAGGAAGGACUAUCCAUCUCAACAGUCACAACAAAGAGAAACAAACCAGUAAACACCCAACAGAUAAGUUUCCCUGUGAGCAGUGUGGCAAACAAUUCUCAGCAGCAAGCAGGGCCCUUCAUCUUACC